AGCUUUGCGCAAUGGCAGUAUUGUAGCCAAUGAGGUUUAUCUGAGGCGGGAUUAUUGCUAAUUGAAAAAUACCCAGAAUAGCCAAAGAAAUCCUGAGAAGGA
RNAcentral lists this small nuclear RNA (102 nucleotides) under Catagonus wagneri (Chacoan peccary). Its description in RNAcentral is "U4 spliceosomal RNA (ENSCWAG00000019046.1)". It matches the Rfam family "U4 spliceosomal RNA". From Rfam's summary of the family: U4 small nuclear RNA (U4 snRNA) is a component of the major U2-dependent spliceosome. The structure of U4 snRNA from yeast and human has been reported. Lineage: Eukaryota; Metazoa; Chordata; Mammalia; Artiodactyla; Tayassuidae. The record is from Rfam by way of RNAcentral.